Molecule: non-coding RNA, 136 nt
Organism: Gossypium raimondii (Peruvian cotton)
Lineage: Eukaryota; Viridiplantae; Streptophyta; Magnoliopsida; Malvales; Malvaceae
Source: Rfam
UGUUAAAAAUUUCAUCUAUUUCUACUAUUAAAAAUUGGCGUGAUGGAAAGAAUAACUAGACAGUUACACGUGGAUUCUACUCAUUCUAGCAUACAAGGAUCAAUUUUAAUAGUAAAAAUAGAUGAAAUUUUUAAUA